UCAGGACGAACGCUGGCGGCGUGCUUAACACAUGCAAGUCGAACGGAAAGGCCCUGCUUUGUGGGGUGCUCGAGUGGCGAACGGGUGAGUAACACGUGAGUAACCUGCCCUUGACUUUGGGAUAACUUCAGGAAACUGGGGCUAAUACCGGAUAGGAGCUCCUGCUGCAUGGUGGGGGUUGGAAAGUUUCGGCGGUUGGGGAUGGACUCGCGGCUUAUCAGCUUGUUGGUGGGGUAGUGGCUUACCAAGGCUUUGACGGGUAGCCGGCCUGAGAGGGUGACCGGCCACAUUGGGACUGAGAUACGGCCCAGACUCCUACGGGAGGCAGCAGUGGGGAAUAUUGCACAAUGGGCGGAAGCCUGAUGCAGCAACGCCGCGUGCGGGAUGACGGCCUUCGGGUUGUAAACCGCUUUCGCCUGUGACGAAGCGUGAGUGACGGUAAUGGGUAAAGAAGCACCGGCUAACUACGUGCCAGCCGCCGC
Molecule: ribosomal RNA, 482 nt
Filed under: uncultured bacterium
Lineage: Bacteria
Description: bacterial SSU rRNA
Rfam family: Bacterial small subunit ribosomal RNA
Source: RNAcentral